UUUCUUGUCUCUGUGUCGUCGUUU
RNAcentral lists this microRNA (24 nucleotides) under Rhipicephalus microplus (southern cattle tick). Its description in RNAcentral is "rmi-miR-5317a". The record is from miRBase by way of RNAcentral. Lineage: Eukaryota; Metazoa; Arthropoda; Arachnida; Ixodida; Ixodidae.